UGGCGCACGGGUGAGUAACGCGUGGGUAACCUACCUUCGAAUUGGGGAUAACGUUGCGAAAGCGACGCUAAUACCGAAUAACAUCCAAUUUUCUUCGGAUUUUUGGAUCAAGGGUGGCCUCUCCAUGGAAGCUACUGUUUGAAGAUGGGCCCGCGUACCAUUAGCUUGUUGGUGGGGUAACGGCCUACCAAGGCAACGAUGGUUAGCUGGUCUGAGAGGAUGAUCAGCCACACUGGAACUGACACACGGUCCAGACUCCUACGGGAGGCAGCAGUGAGGAAUUUUGCGCAAUGGGCGAAAGCCUGACGCAGCAACGCCGCGUGAGUGAUGAAGGCCUUCGGGUCGUAAAGCUCUGUCAAGUGGGAAGAACCUAUAUAAUGUUAAUAUCAUUAUAUACUGACGGUACCACUGAAGGAAGCACCGGCUAACUCCGUGCCAGCAGCCGCGGUAAUACGGGGGGUGCAAGCGUUAUUCGGAAUCAUUGGGCGUAAAGAGCACGUAGGCGGCCUGGUAAGUCAGAUG
This 522-nucleotide ribosomal RNA is filed under the name uncultured delta proteobacterium. RNAcentral describes it as "bacterial SSU rRNA". It matches the Rfam family "Bacterial small subunit ribosomal RNA", at positions 96 to 594 of the family's 1533-position model. The record is from RNAcentral. Lineage: Bacteria; Deltaproteobacteria.